GGGGCCGUAGCUUAAGAGUAGAGUGCCUGUGGUUGACGCUCAGGAGGUGCGGGUGCGAUUCCCGUCGGCUCCACCA
This 76-nucleotide transfer RNA is filed under the name bacterium. RNAcentral's name for it is "tRNA-OTHER". It matches the Rfam family "tRNA". Rfam says of the family: Transfer RNA (tRNA) molecules are approximately 80 nucleotides in length. Their secondary structure includes four short double-helical elements and three loops (D, anti-codon, and T loops). The record is from RNAcentral.